Molecule: long non-coding RNA, 633 nt
Organism: Vespula vulgaris
Lineage: Eukaryota; Metazoa; Arthropoda; Insecta; Hymenoptera; Vespidae
Exons: 2
Source: RefSeq, a predicted model, not a curated record
UCAGACACUACCUUCAGACACAACCUGCAGACACAACCUCAGACCCAACCUUCGGACGCAACCUUCGGACACAACCUUCAGACCCAACCUCAGACCCAACCUUCAGACACUACCUUCAGACACAACCUGCAGACACAACCUCAGACCCAACCUUCAAACACAACCUUCAGACACAACCUCAGACACAACCUCAGACACAACCUUCAGACAAUACUUUUUCUACAACUUUUACAGAAUUUUCUCACAAGUUUUACGCACCUUUUACCUUAUGCCGCAUAAUUUAACAUGAAACAGAAGGAAGUCUGAUAGAAUACUGAACGCAAAUCAGACGUACUGCAGGCGGAAUGUCAUCGAAGCUCAGUCGUGUCUCUUAUUCAAUAAAGACGCAAGCUUGAUGUAACCGUUUUCUUUUUAGACGAUUAUUCAAAGGCGUCGUAUAAAUGAUCAAUCACAAACAUUCAAAUUCUGAUGUCUACUUAUAGUUUCUCCUCUGUUUAAUAUUAUAUAAUAAAAUCACACAAAUAUCAUGCAAUAAAAUUAAACAAAUAGUAUAUAUUAAAAUGAGACAAAUAUUAUACAAUAAAAUCAGGCAAAUAGUAUACAAUAAAAUGAAACAAAUAUUAGACACUAAAA